Etheostoma cragini (Arkansas darter) is the source of this 134-nucleotide long non-coding RNA. RefSeq lists it as uncharacterized. The record is from RefSeq and is a predicted model, not a curated record. The transcript is spliced from 3 exons. NCBI's taxonomy places the organism in Eukaryota, Metazoa, Chordata, Actinopteri, Perciformes, Percidae.
AAUGUGUUGUGUGUGUGUGUGCAUUAUAGUACCAGACACGCAGAAAGCUUAGCAGGAUCACCAUGUUAGUCCAGGAAAUGUUACUUGGAUGUAUUACUGUUUCAUAAAAUGUGUUGAACCUUCAAGCAACAGGA